This 465-nucleotide ribosomal RNA is filed under the name uncultured bacterium. RNAcentral describes it as "partial 16S ribosomal RNA". It matches the Rfam family "Bacterial small subunit ribosomal RNA", at positions 338 to 795 of the family's 1533-position model. The record is from RNAcentral.
CCUACGGGUGGCAGCAGUGGGGAAUAUUGCGCAAUGGGCGAAAGCCUGACGCAGCGACGCCGCGUGAGGGAUGAAGGUCUUCGGAUCGUUAACCUCUGUCAGCAGGGAAGAACGGUCACUGUGCUAAUCAGCAGUGAAUUGACGGUACCUGCAAAGGAAGCACCGGCUAACUCCGUGCCAGCAGCUGCGGUAAUACGGAGGGUGCGAGCGUUAAUCGGAAUUACUGGGCGUAAAGCGCUCGUAGGCGGUAUGUCAAGUCAAGGGUGAAAUCCCCGGGCUCAACGUGGGAACUGCCUUUGAAACUGGCAAGCUGGAGUGUGUGGGAGGAUGGUGGAAUUCCAGGUGUAGGGGUGAAAUGCGUAGAUAUCUGGAGGAACAUCGGUGGCGAAGGCGACUAUCUGGCACAUAACUGACGCUGAGGAGCGAAAGCGUGGGUAGCGAACAGGAUUAGAUACCCUGGUAGUC